CUACGGGUGGCAGCAGUGGGGAAUAUUGGACAAUGGGGGAAACCCUGAUCCAGCAAUGCCGCGUGUGUGAAGAAGGCCUGCGGGUUGUAAAGCACUUUCGGUUGGGAGGACUGCUUCUAGCACUAAUAUUGUUGGAAGUUGACGUUACCUUCAGAAGAAGCACCGGCUAACUCCGUGCCAGCAGCCGCGGUAAUAUGGAGGGUGCAAGCGUUAAUCGGAAUUACUGGGCGUAAAGCGCGCGUAGGCGGCUAGAUCAGUCGGGUGUGAAAGCCCCGGGCUUAACCUGGGAACUGCAUCCGAUACUGUCUAGCUUGAGUACAGGAGAGGAGAGUGGAAUUCCACAUGUAGCGGUGAAAUGCGUAGAUAUGUGGAGGAACACCAAUGGCGAAGGCAGCUCUCUGGCCCGAUACUGACGCUGAGGUGCGAAAGCGUGGGGAGCAAACAGGAUUAGAUACCCCAGUAGUC
Molecule: ribosomal RNA, 465 nt
Filed under: uncultured bacterium
Lineage: Bacteria
Description: partial 16S ribosomal RNA
Rfam family: Bacterial small subunit ribosomal RNA
Source: RNAcentral